RNAcentral lists this transfer RNA (65 nucleotides) under Sitophilus zeamais (maize weevil). Its description in RNAcentral is "tRNA-Glu". Lineage: Eukaryota; Metazoa; Arthropoda; Insecta; Coleoptera; Curculionidae. The record is from RNAcentral.
AUUUAUAUAGUUUAAAAAAAACUUUACACUUUCACUGUAAAAUUAGAGAACACCUCUUAUAAAUU